GUGUAAAGGUUUAUGAGUCUCUCUAUAGGUGCACGCGCCAUCAUGUGAGAGAGAGAUAGAGCUCUCGCGCUCACAGUCAAACCUGUGACAAGGCACUACUAUCCAUACAAAUAUGAAUAAUGAAGAUAUUAUUAAGAAUAAUUGUAUAAUUUAUCUCUUUUUAAGUAACGUUAACAUGACAGAUGACUCGCAAACGAAAGAGCGUCUCUCAAACGGACCGGAUUGGCUCCAUUGGCAAUGACGUCACACUGAUGUAACGGCAUUUAACGAUGUUUUUUUUUUUUGAGCGGACUUUAUACAAAAAGACGGAAAAUCGUUGUCUAUGUGAGAUGUUAUACAUUUACCGGAAAAGACAGUCCAACUUUUAUUACAAUUUAAUGGGUUUCAUGAGUGAAAACGCCUGCUAUUUAUUUUAGCAGUUAUUCCCAUCAGAAAAACUAACUGUUCCCGCUCAGGACUAUUUGUUAUUAUAAUUACUCAUAAUUAAAUUGUAUUUCUUUCUUUAUAGUUUUAAAUGUCAUUUACUUUUGUUGUCGGCCCAUACUUUUAAAAAGUAAUUUAACUAAAUCGGUUAAGUAAAGAGUAAUUCACCUCAGAAAAACGCACUGCUGGGGAUGUCACUCGAAGGGGAGUCAGGUGUGCGCGAGGUGAGCACAGACCCGGCUUAUAUAUGCCCCGCUGCCCGGUUCGCGGGCUUGGCACGCGACUAAGAAUUUAAAUAUUGAGAGAAAAGUUUUUUUUUUUUUUUUUUUUUUAAUGUAUGUACAAUUAUAUAAUGACACACUGCGUUAACUUGGUAUUAAACGUCAAAAACAUAGGGUUUUCAAAUAGUGUGGUGUUUGUGUUUUCAUACUAUAUUCAAAGCAAUGGUGUUACCAAAAAUAUAAGUCAUAUCUAUUUUUUUUUUUUUUUACUAACGUUGCUUUCUUUGUCUCCCAGUUUGAGUCCCUCUUUGUUAAAUAUAGUUGAGCAACCCCAUAGGUGGCGAUGUACGCACGCGAGUCGCCAAUGAGCCAAUGAGCCAAUGGAUGAAGAAGAGCCAGCCACGCAUUUAGCCACGCGAUCUCUUCACUCACUGUGUAUGGUACUUUAAUGGGUGAGAGAAUUCUGUCCUGAUGUUUGGCUGUGGUCCCUCCAUCAUCCACUCUUCAGCAGCUGGUCUUUGUAUGGAGGCCACCAUGAUCUAUACGGAUCUAAUUGUCUCAUCUCCCACAAACUCCACUUUCAGGCCAACAGUGACCCUAUCGAAGCUGGGCUCUUAAUACCGUGAUGCAAACCAAAAUGGUCCGGAGACAACUAGGGGGUGUCGACAAACUUCCAAUGAGGACCAUUAGACCACUUGAGAAGAAUUACCUCACAUGACCAAGCUCUCAUCACAACCCCUGGGUGCAGCAGCUGUGGAAAUUACGGGCCAAACUUUGGACACACUAGGAAUGACAUACUGGUUCAUCCUAAGAUGCACAGAUCUACCUCUAGCCCACCAUCAAUCCCACACUCAACUUGCAACGAAGUUUCAUUAAGUGCAGUCUAUAACCCGUGUCUGCCAUGCACGGUCUGCACCUUGUUUUAUUGCAGAUGUUAUGGAUUAUUCUAUUAGAGCUCUUUAUAUUCUUUAUUUGAGACUGUUAUUAUGUAGAGACUGUUAUGUUGUGAAUAAAGUCAACUCAAC
This is a long non-coding RNA of Onychostoma macrolepis, 1669 nucleotides long. RefSeq lists it as uncharacterized. NCBI's taxonomy places the organism in Eukaryota, Metazoa, Chordata, Actinopteri, Cypriniformes, Cyprinidae. The transcript is spliced from 5 exons. The record is from RefSeq and is a predicted model, not a curated record.